RNAcentral lists this ribosomal RNA (253 nucleotides) under uncultured bacterium. RNAcentral's name for it is "partial 16S ribosomal RNA". It matches the Rfam family "Bacterial small subunit ribosomal RNA", at positions 524 to 776 of the family's 1533-position model. The record is from RNAcentral.
UACGGAGGGGGCUAGCGUUGUUCGGAAUUACUGGGCUUAAAGCGCACGUAGGCGGCUUUGUAAGUUAGAGGUGAAAGCCUGGAGCUCAACUCCAAAAUUGCCUUUAAGACUACAUCGCUUGAAUCUAGGAGAGGUGAGUGGAAUUCCGAGUGUAGAGGUGAAAUUCGUAGAUAUUCGGAAGAACACCAGUGGCGAAGGCGGCUCACUGGACUGGUAUUGACGCUGAGGUGCGAAAGCGUGGGGAGCAAACAGG